Molecule: ribosomal RNA, 474 nt
Filed under: uncultured bacterium
Lineage: Bacteria
Description: partial 16S ribosomal RNA
Rfam family: Bacterial small subunit ribosomal RNA
Source: RNAcentral
GAUGAACGCUAGCGGCAGGCCUAACACAUGCAAGUCGAGGGAGGAGCUUUCGGGCUUCGACCGGCGUACGGGUGCGUAACGCGUAUACAAUCUGCCUUUCACAUAGGGAUAGCCCGAAGAAAUUUGGAUUAAUACCUAAUGGUAUAUAGGAGUGGCAUCACAUUUAUAUUAAAGCUGAGGCGGUGAAAGAUGAGUAUGCGUUCUAUUAGCUAGUUGGAGAGGUAACGGCUCCCCAAGGCGACGAUAGAUAGGGGUUCUGAGAGGGAUAUCCCCCACACUGGUACUGAGAUACGGACCAGACUCCUACGGGAGGCAGCAGUGAGGAAUAUUGGACAAUGGUCGGAAGACUGAUCCAGCCAUGCCGUGUGCAGGAAGACGGCCUUAUGGGUUGUAAACUGCUUUUGCAGGGGAAGAAUAAGGACUACGAGUAGUUUGAUGACGGUACUCUGCGAAUAAGCAUCGGCUAACUCCGUG